UUGCACUGUUCGUAACCUGGCUCGGUCCUCCAGUGUGAGCUGUGGGUUCCAUUCCAGUGCCACAGUAAAGCCCAGAGGUUCAGUACGUCUUGUACCGUUGCUCUGUUCACUCUCUGGGAACAUGA
Molecule: small nucleolar RNA, 125 nt
Organism: Oncorhynchus nerka (sockeye salmon)
Lineage: Eukaryota; Metazoa; Chordata; Actinopteri; Salmoniformes; Salmonidae
Source: RefSeq, a predicted model, not a curated record